AUGAACGCUGGCGGCGUGCCUAAUACAUGCAAGUCGAGCGAACGGACGAGAAGCUUGCUUCUCUGAUGUUAGCGGCGGACGGGUGAGUAACACGUGGAUAACCUACCUAUAAGACUGGGAUAACUUCGGGAAACCGGAGCUAAUACCGGAUAAUAUUUUGAACCGCAUGGUUCAAAAGUGAAAGACGGUCUUGCUGUCACUUAUAGAUGGAUCCGCGCUGCAUUAGCUAGUUGGUAAGGUAACGGCUUACCAAGGCAACGAUGCAUAGCCGACCUGAGAGGGUGAUCGGCCACACUGGAACUGAGACACGGUCCAGACUCCUACGGGAGGCAGCAGUAGGGAAUCUUCCGCAAUGGGCGAAAGCCUGACGGAGCAACGCCGCGUGAGUGAUGAAGGUCUUCGGAUCGUAAAACUCUGUUAUUAGGGAAGAACAUAUGUGUAAGUAACUGUGCACAUCUUGACGGUGCCUAAUCAGAAAGCCACGGCUAACUACGUG
Molecule: ribosomal RNA, 496 nt
Filed under: uncultured bacterium
Lineage: Bacteria
Description: partial 16S ribosomal RNA
Rfam family: Bacterial small subunit ribosomal RNA
Source: RNAcentral